GGAGGAAAAAAAAAAAACAAACAUCAGAUUCACAACCACAUGCUUGGAAAAACGGUGCUUGCUUACUUUGACAAAAACACUGCAGCAAGGUAAACACCCAUGAGAGAGAAAAGAACAUGCUUCGAGAACAAUGUUGGCACAGCAAAUGCUAAUAAACAGAUCUGGAAAGAAGAACAAAGCUAAAGAUGAGACAAGAUUUCCAAAUAACCUUCAAUCAGAGUAGCAGUCCUACUUCUGUGGGUCUAGUCUUUUCAAGGUGAAGCUUGAUACAUUUAUGAGUGAAAUUAUGUGAAGUCUUUGAAAAUGGGAAGCUGGACAAAAUGCUGGACUAGAAGAUUUUGUGAGUCCUAUACAGAACUCCGCAUUUGUUUAGCAAAGGACUUUCAUGCCAAGUAUAAAGGGGGACUUGCUAGAAUUAAUUUUCAUUAGGCUGUAUAACAGUCCCAAAUUUAAGUUGGGGAAAUGUAUUUGCUUAUGACAUUAGAAAUGCUGCUGGAUAAAGUACCACUGGGAGCUAUUCACUGGAAACUGUUUUUCAGGAUGGAUUUCCGUUCAGAUAAAUAUUCUUCAAUUGGGAGAAAAUGCUCCUUUUGAAUUUCAUGUCAAAGAUUAAACUUCCCCAAAUCUUACUGAGGCAUGAACUGUUGGAAAUGAAUUGUUUUUCUUCUGGAGCAAGAACCUUAAAAUCUGCCACACAUAGCUGGCCGUGUCUAAGCCCACCCUUAAAAUAAACAAGAUGUCUUUUCUUCUGUUGAAGAGGAAAUGUAAAGGAAGUAUGUAAAUUCAGUAAUCAAAACGCAGAUGGAAGGGAUACCUCCAAGUCCAGAAUUUAAGUUGUCCUACAGAUGGAGUGAAAUCCUGGAGAGGACAGAGGUGCAUGUGGAUACUACUCUGCCCUAAUCCAAAAAGCAGCUCAAGUCAGUCUAGAGCCCUAAAAAUAACAGAAAAGGAGUCUUGUGCUCCCAGUUUCAUCAGCUGAAGCCUAAAUCCUGAACUCUGUCACCUGGGGAUGCUGGAGUCUUUCAGUUCAGCUGCAAAAUCUUUCAGAUCUGACACCAAGCAUUGAGAUGUCUGCUGUGAUCUUGAGCUCUAUUGGCACAGCCUGCAUUGUGUGUGUUGUGUACUGCUUUGUCUAUAUGACUCACGUGUGGAUGCAAAUAUGGCCACCUACUCAGCAUUUAGAAAAUCCUGAAUAUAUACCUAGUGCCAUCUUAUGUGCGACUCACCAGGUUCAAGCUCCUCAAAUCGUUAUUUCAAAGGGGACGCUAAUGACCACCUCCCAGAGUCUGAAAAUAGGCCUGGUCAAGUCACAAAAGGGUUCUGUGGUUAUAGUCCCUUCUGUGGCUGAUCCAAAAUCCAGCUAGUGAAUGUUGAGGGGAAUAUAAGGUAUAAUCACUCUAGAAAGACAAUAACAACAAUUACAUCCAACAUUUAAAUACUCAUAGUGUCUUUCUGACUUGCAUAACUGCAGCUGUCAUCUCCUCUUUGAAGAUCAACAUAGACCCAGCUCUUAGUGGUUUAGUAAAAAAAUGAUAUUCUGGUGAAAUCUGGGGCACAGGCACUUCCAACUCACACUAUCAGUAAGUUAGAUUUUGAACAAGCACUUUGCAUUUUUUUAAUCAUUCUGAUAUUUUAAACUUUUGGUUCUUUACAGUAUCUUGAUGAUAGUAUUUUGAAAGAUCCUAAAUUAAUUAGGGUCCAACAGAAUUACAUUCAGAGGACUUUUAGCUUUAACUAGAUUUUGUAGAUUUUCCCUCAUUACUCCUUUCAGAUUUGUAAUGGUUCAUGACAUUAGCUUUGAUUCCCUUGGGUUUACUUCUUAUACAUUCUAAUAUUUGCUUAGCUUGUACAAAUAGCUCUGAUAUUUGCCUUGAAAAUUCUUCAUCCUAAAUGAAAAUGGUCUGCUGAAUCUUUAUUUCACAUUAAAAGCUUUUAAAGGAAUUAUCCCCUGGGCUAGGAAAAUCCAUGCAAUUAACAUAACUGUAACCCCAAACCUUUUCAGAGGUUAGAGAAACUUGUGUAUGUUUUGAGUUUUUAUUUUAUUUGUCAUUUACCUGCCUUUGCAGUACUUUCUGCUUUUUGAAAGAGCCACAAGCAGUUGUCAAAUGGAAAUGAAUCUGUCACUGAAUUGUUCUGAUUGAAUUAAACCAGCAAAUACUGAAAUACAGGAGAAAGCCUGUUCCAGUGAGACAUCCAAGAGUAGUUACUUG
Molecule: non-coding RNA, 2210 nt
Organism: Anas platyrhynchos (mallard)
Lineage: Eukaryota; Metazoa; Chordata; Aves; Anseriformes; Anatidae
Source: RefSeq, a predicted model, not a curated record